RNAcentral lists this ribosomal RNA (329 nucleotides) under Allapsidae sp. RNAcentral describes it as "SSU rRNA". It matches the Rfam family "Eukaryotic small subunit ribosomal RNA", at positions 634 to 955 of the family's 1831-position model. Lineage: Eukaryota; Cercozoa; Glissomonadida; Viridiraptoridae. The record is from RNAcentral.
GAUUUCUGGUUUGAUGUACCUGUCCCGCCUCGGUAACGGGGUCGAGUGACGGAGUAUGUCUGCCAUCCUUCUAGAGAAUAUAAACUAUCCUUUACUGGACUGGUUUAUAUCAUCUAGAUCUUUUACUUUGAAAAAAUUAGAGUGUUUCAAGCAGGCAUGUUUUGCUAUGAAUACAUUAGCAUGGAAUAAUAAUCUAGGACUUUCGGUUCUAUUUUGUUGGUGUUCUGGAGCUGAAGUAAUGAUUGAUAGGGAUAGUUGGGGGUGCUAGUAUUCAAUGGCCAGAGGUGAAAUUCUCGGAUUCCUUGAAGACUAACUUAUGCGAAAGCAUU